CUAUGUCAAACAGUUCCACGGGAAACAUUAGAUGGAUACCCCUACUAUAGAGGUAUCAUAGAGGAAGGACAUUGGGCCGAUGGUUUGAUUUCCUGCUGUAGAGUGAUGCUUGCUACACGACUCUUGGCCUCUUACCAUAUGUAAGGAGGGUGUGAAGAAAUGACUCCGUUCAUCAGGAUUUCUACCUUUGUUGUGCAGUUAAUUCACCCAAUUCAGCUGGAAUUCAGGAUAUAGCUUUAAUUCCUACCCUUCGGAUGGAUUCAGGCGAAUUCCCCGUGUAAAAUCUAGGUGGC
Molecule: non-coding RNA, 293 nt
Organism: Pelobates cultripes (western spadefoot toad)
Lineage: Eukaryota; Metazoa; Chordata; Amphibia; Anura; Pelobatidae
Source: the annotation of a GenBank genome assembly